This 404-nucleotide ribosomal RNA is filed under the name uncultured bacterium. Its description in RNAcentral is "bacterial SSU rRNA". It matches the Rfam family "Bacterial small subunit ribosomal RNA", at positions 976 to 1380 of the family's 1533-position model. The record is from RNAcentral.
CGGGCUCAAACGCAGGAGGCAUGGCGGUGAAAGCCGUCAGUCCCUCGGGACCUACUGCGAGGUGCUGCAUGGUUGUCGUCAGCUCGUGCCGUGAGGUGUCGGCUUAAGUGCCAUAACGAGCGCAACCCCCAUCGACAGUUGCCAUCAGGUCAGGCUGGGCACUCUGUAGAGACUGCCGGCGCAAGCUGAGAGGAAGGCGGGGAUGACGUCAAAUCAGCACGGCCCUUACGUCCGGGGCGACACACGUGUUACAAUGGCAGGUACAGCGGGAAGCCACCUGGCGACAGGGAGCGGAACCCGAAAACCUGUCUCAGUUCGGAUUGGAGUCUGCAACCCGACUCCAUGAAGCUGGAUUCGCUAGUAAUCGCGCAUCAGCCACGGCGCGGUGAAUACGUUCCCGGGCC